RNAcentral lists this transfer RNA (87 nucleotides) under Chryseobacterium sp. FH2. Its description in RNAcentral is "tRNA-Tyr". It matches the Rfam family "tRNA". Rfam says of the family: Transfer RNA (tRNA) molecules are approximately 80 nucleotides in length. Their secondary structure includes four short double-helical elements and three loops (D, anti-codon, and T loops). Lineage: Bacteria; Pseudomonadati; Bacteroidota; Flavobacteriia; Flavobacteriales; Weeksellaceae. The record is from RNAcentral.
GGAAAUACGCCGAAGUUGGAGAGUCGGGACAGACUGUAAAUCUGUUGCUUUAUUGCUGAGCAGGUUCGAAUCCUGCUAUUUCCACAA